AACCAGCACCUCAAGUGGUCAGGAUGAUUAUUGGGCCUAAAGCAUCCGUAGCCGGCUCUGUAAGUUUUCGGUUAAAUCUGUACGCUCAACGUACAGGCUGCCGGGAAUACUGCAGAGCUAGGGAGUGGGAGAGGUAGACGGUACUCGGUAGGAAGGGGUAAAAUCCUGUCAUCCCAGGGGGACCACUUGUUGCGAAGGCGUCGUACUAGAACGGAUCCGACGGUCAGGGACGAAGCCUAGGGGCACGAACCGG
This 253-nucleotide ribosomal RNA is filed under the name uncultured archaeon. RNAcentral describes it as "partial 16S ribosomal RNA". It matches the Rfam family "Archaeal small subunit ribosomal RNA", at positions 474 to 727 of the family's 1478-position model. The record is from RNAcentral.